Molecule: ribosomal RNA, 460 nt
Filed under: uncultured Capnocytophaga sp.
Lineage: Bacteria; Pseudomonadati; Bacteroidota; Flavobacteriia; Flavobacteriales; Flavobacteriaceae
Description: bacterial SSU rRNA
Rfam family: Bacterial small subunit ribosomal RNA
Source: RNAcentral
CCUACGGGGGGCAGCAGUGAGGAAUAUUGGACAAUGGUCGGAAGACUGAUCCAGCCAUGCCGCGUGCAGGAUGAAGGUCUUAUGGAUUGUAAACUGCUUUUGUAAGGGAAGAAUAAGGACUACGUGUAGUUUGAUGACGGUACCUUACGAAUAAGCAUCGGCUAACUCCGUGCCAGCAGCCGCGGUAAUACGGAGGAUGCGAGCGUUAUCCGGAAUCAUUGGGUUUAAAGGGUCUGUAGGCGGGCUUGUAAGUCAGAGGUGAAAGCGCUCAGCUCAACUGAGCAACUGCCUUUGAAACUGUUGGUCUUGAAUGGUUGUGAAGUAGUUGGAAUGUGUAGUGUAGCGGUGAAAUGCUUAGAUAUUACACAGAACACCGAUAGCGAAGGCAUAUUACUAACAAUUGAUUGACGCUGAUGGACGAAAGCGUGGGGAGCGAACAGGAUUAGAUACCCCGGUAGUC